RNAcentral lists this ribosomal RNA (253 nucleotides) under uncultured bacterium. RNAcentral's name for it is "partial 16S ribosomal RNA". It matches the Rfam family "Bacterial small subunit ribosomal RNA", at positions 524 to 776 of the family's 1533-position model. The record is from RNAcentral.
UACGUAGGGGGCAAGCGUUGUCCGGAAUCAUUGGGCGUAAAGAGCGUGUAGGCGGCCCGAUAAGUCCGCUGUGAAAGUCCAGGGCUCAACCCUGGGAUGCCGGUGGAUACUGUCGGGCUCGAGUCCGGAAGAGGAGUGUGGAAUUCCUGGUGUAGCGGUGAAAUGCGCAGAUAUCAGGAGGAACAUCGGUGGCGAAGGCGGGUCUCUGGGCCGUAACUGACGCUGAGGAGCGAAAGCGUGGGGAGCGAACAGG